Molecule: long non-coding RNA, 258 nt
Filed under: Gossypium barbadense (sea-island cotton)
Lineage: Eukaryota; Viridiplantae; Streptophyta; Magnoliopsida; Malvales; Malvaceae
Description: long non-coding RNA (GBAR_LNC005433)
Source: RNAcentral
UCAUACGGCUGUGUGGCCAGGUCAUGUGACUCACACGACUGAGGCACACACCCGUGUCUCAGGUCGUGUGGACAUUCGAAGUAGGGACACAGAGCUAUAUCCCAGCCUGUGUCCGUGCCCAUAUAACUCACUGCCUUGGAUCACAUGACCAAGCCACACGCCCAUGUGCUAGGCCAUGUAACUGCCUGACUUGCAACCCUUUGAAACCUACAGGGGACACGCGGCCGUGUGUGACACACAGCGGAGACACACGCCUGU